RNAcentral lists this ribosomal RNA (384 nucleotides) under Paracalanus parvus. RNAcentral describes it as "SSU rRNA". It matches the Rfam family "Eukaryotic small subunit ribosomal RNA", at positions 624 to 1011 of the family's 1831-position model. Lineage: Eukaryota; Metazoa; Arthropoda; Copepoda; Calanoida; Paracalanidae. The record is from RNAcentral.
AAGCUCGUAGUUGGAUCUCAACAGCCUUGAAGCGGUUAACUUUGUAGUUUUACUGCUUUAUAGGCAGUGCUUUUGCUGGAGGUUUAGGGGUGCUCUUGAUCGAGUGUCUCUGGAUGCCAGCAGGUUUACUUUGAAAAAAUUAGAGUGCUCAAAGCAGGCUAAAAUGCCUGAAUAUUCGUGCAUGGAAUAAUAGAAUAGGAUGUCGAUCCUAUUUUGUUGGUUUUCGGGACUCGACAUAAUGAUAAAUAGGGACAGUCGGGGGCAUUUGUAUUCAAACGACAGAGGUGAAAUUCUUGGACCGUUUGAAGACAAACUACUGCGAAGCAUUUGCCAAGAAUGUUUUCAUUAAUCAAGAACGAAAGUUAGAGGUUCGAAGACAAAAAA